GGGGUUGUGGCUCAGAGGUAGAGCACUCGCCUAGCAUGUGUGAGGCACUGGGUUUGAUCCUCAGCACCACA
This 71-nucleotide transfer RNA is filed under the name Marmota monax (woodchuck). RNAcentral describes it as "tRNA.Ala". It matches the Rfam family "tRNA". Rfam says of the family: Transfer RNA (tRNA) molecules are approximately 80 nucleotides in length. Their secondary structure includes four short double-helical elements and three loops (D, anti-codon, and T loops). The record is from RNAcentral. Lineage: Eukaryota; Metazoa; Chordata; Mammalia; Rodentia; Sciuridae.